RNAcentral lists this ribosomal RNA (253 nucleotides) under uncultured bacterium. RNAcentral's name for it is "partial 16S ribosomal RNA". It matches the Rfam family "Bacterial small subunit ribosomal RNA", at positions 524 to 776 of the family's 1533-position model. The record is from RNAcentral.
UACGAAGGUCCCGAGCGUUGUUCGGAAUCACUGGGCGUAAAGGGAGCGUAGGCGGCGUGGUAAGUCAGAUGUGAAAUCCCGGGGCUCAACCCCGGAACUGCAUCCGAUACUGCCAUGCUAGAGGAUUGGAGAGGUAGCUGGAAUUCUUGGUGUAGCAGUGAAAUGCGUAGAUAUCAAGUGGAACACCAGUGGCGAAGGCGAGUCCCUGGACACUUCCUGACACUGAGGCACGAAAGCUAGGGGAGCAAACAGG